GACGAACGCUGGCGGCGUGCUUAACACAUGCAAGUCGAACGGUGAAGGGAUCAGCUUGCUGGUUCUGGAUGAGUGGCGAACGGGUGAGUAACACGUGAGUAACCUGCCCCCUUCUUCUGGAUAACCGCAUGAAAGUGUGGCUAAUACGGGAUAUUCUGCGCCUGCUGCAUGGUGGGUGUGGGAAAGAUAUUGUUUCGGUGGGGGAUGGGCUCGCGGCCUAUCAGCUUGUUGGUGGGGUGAUGGCCUACCAAGGCGGUGACGGGUAGCCGGCCUGAGAGGGUGGACGGUCACACUGGGACUGAGACACGGCCCAGACGCCUACGGGAGGCAGCAGUGGGGAAUAUUGCACAAUGGGCGCAAGCCUGAUGCAGCGACGCCGCGUGAGGGAUGGAGGCCUUCGGGUUGUGAACCUCUUUCGCCAGUGAAGCAGGCCUGUCCCGUGUGGGUGGGUUGACGGUAGCUGGAUAAGAAGCGCCGGCUAACUACGUG
This 489-nucleotide ribosomal RNA is filed under the name uncultured bacterium. RNAcentral's name for it is "partial 16S ribosomal RNA". It matches the Rfam family "Bacterial small subunit ribosomal RNA", at positions 28 to 507 of the family's 1533-position model. The record is from RNAcentral.